This 2886-nucleotide ribosomal RNA is filed under the name Lachnospiraceae bacterium AC2031. Its description in RNAcentral is "bacterial LSU rRNA". It matches the Rfam family "Bacterial large subunit ribosomal RNA". Lineage: Bacteria; Bacillati; Bacillota; Clostridia; Lachnospirales; Lachnospiraceae. The record is from RNAcentral.
UAAAGCGAAUUAGAGCGCAGGGUGGAUGCCUUGGCACUGAGAGCCGAUGAAAGACGUGAUAAGCUGCGAUAAGCCACGGUUAGGAGCAAAUAUCCAUUUACCCGUGGAUUUCUGAAUGGGGAAACCCGGCUGGCGAAGAGUCAGUCACUGUGCACUGAAUACAUAGGUGUACAGAGGGAACCUCCUGAACUGAAACAUCUAAGUAGGGAGAGGAAGAGAAAGAAACAUCGAUUUCCUAAGUAGCGGCGAGCGAACGGGAAAGAGCCCAAACCAGAGUGCGUGCAUUCUGGGGUUCGGACUGUCACAAUGGUAAGCUAGUAUAGAAGAAUGGUCUGGAAAGUCCAUCCACAGAGGGUGAGAGGCCCGUAUUCGAAAUACGAUGCUUAUUAGACAGGAUCCAGAGUAGGUCGAGACACGUGGAACCUUGACUGAAUGAGCGGAGACCACUCCGUAAGGCUAAAUACUACUCAGUGACCGAUAGCGCAUAGUACUGUGAAGGAAAGGUGAAAAGGACCCCGGGAGGGGAGUGAAAGAGAACCUGAAACCCUGUGUUUACAAGCUGUGGAACAUCAAUGUAUACAUGAUGAACCGCGUACUUUUUGUAGAACGGUCCGGCGAGUUACCAUGUGUGGCGAGGUUAAGUUCUAAAGGAACGGAGCCGAAGUGAAAGCAAGCGUUAAUAGCGCGAUCUAGUCGCCCAUGGUAGACCCGAAACCGGGUGACCUACCCAUGUCCAGGAUGAAGUUGCCGUAAAAGGCAAUGGAGGUCCGAACACACAUCCGUUGAAAAGGGUGGUGAUGAGGUGUGGGUAGCGGAGAAAUUCCAAUCGAACCCGGAGAUAGCUGGUUCUCCUCGAAAUAGCUUUAGGGCUAGCCUCAGGUUAAAGUCUUGCGGAGGUAGAGCACUGAAUAUCUGCGGGGGCGUCAAAGCCUACCAAUGAUUAUCAAACUCCGAAUGCCGUGUAGAUGAUACCUGGGAGUCAGACUAUCCGAGAUAAGUUGGGUGGUCAAAAGGGAAAGAGCCCAGAUCUACAGCUAAGGUCCCAAAGUACGUGUUAAGUGGAAAAGGAUGUGGGAUUUCAUAGACAACUAGGAUGUUGGCUCAGAAGCAGCCACACAUUCAAAGAGUGCGUAAUAGCUCACUAGUCGAGAGGUCCUGCGCCGAAAAUGUCCGGGGCUAAAACACGACACCGAAGCUUAGGGAUCAACCCCGUGUUGAUCGGUAGAGGAGCAUUGUCACAGAGUCGAAGCUGUACUGUAAGGAGCAGUGGAUUUGUGAGAAGAGAGAAUGCCGGAAUGAGUAGCGAGAUUUAAGUAAGAAUCUUAAAGGCCGAAUAUCUAAGGUUUCCAGGGUAAAGCUGAUCUUCCCUGGGUAAGUCGGGGCCUAAGGCGAGGGCGAAAGCCGUAGUCGAUGGAUAACAGGUUGAAAUUCCUGUACCGCUGUAUAUCAGAACUGUGGGGACGCAGACAGAGAGCGUGACCCGGGAAUGGAAAGACCGGGACAAGCGAGGUAGGAGUAUGAUAGGCAAAUCCGUCAUACAAUCUGAAGACGUGAUGUGGACCGAACUAUUAGUAGGGAAGCACGUGAGCUGGCUGCCGAGAAAAGCCGCUAUUGCGUAUACAGCGCCCGUACCGUAAACCGACACAGGUGGAUGAGGAGAGAAUCCUAAGGCCGGCGGGAGAAGUGUUGUUAAGGAACUCGGCAAAAUGAACCCGUAACUUCGGGAGAAGGGUUGCCUGCGAGAGCAGGCCGCAGAGAAAUGGCCCAAGCAACUGUUUAGCAAAAACAUAGGUCUAUGCGAAACCGAAAGGUGAAGUAUAUGGGCUGACGCCUGCCCGGUGCUGGAAGGUUAAGAGGAGGGGUUAGACUUCGGUCGAAGCUCUGAAUUUAAGCCCCAGUAAACGGCGGCCGUAACUAUAACGGUCCUAAGGUAGCGAAAUUCCUUGUCGGGUAAGUUCCGACCCGCACGAAAGGCGUAAUGAUUUGGGCACUGUCUCAACAACACACCCGGUGAAAUUGAAGUACCAGUGAAGAUGCUGGUUACCUGCGCCAGGACGGAAAGACCCCAUGGAGCUUUACUCCAGCUUGAUACUGGGAUUCGGUACUAUCUGCACAGGAUAGGUGGGAGACUUAGAAACGUAGUCCUUGGGUUACGUGGAGUCGUUGUUGGGAUACCACCCUUAUAGUAUUGGGUUUCUAACCCAUAGCCGUUAUCCGGCGUGGGGACAAUGUCUGGCGGGGAGUUUGACUGGGGCGGUCGCCUCCGAAAGGGUAUCGGAGGCGCUCAAAGGUUCCCUCAGAAUGGUUGGAAACCAUUCGAAGAGUGCAAAGGCAGAAGGGAGCUUGACUGCGAGGGCGACGGUCCGAGCAGAUACGAAAGUAGGACUUAGUGAUCCGGUGGUAUAAAGUGGGAUUGCCAUCGCUCAACGGAUAAAAGCUACCCUGGGGAUAACAGGCUUAUCACUCCCAAGAGUUCACAUCGACGGAGUGGUUUGGCACCUCGAUGUCGGCUCAUCGCAUCCUGGAGCUGUAGCAGGUUCCAAGGGUUGGGCUGUUCGCCCAUUAAAGCGGUACGCGAGCUGGGUUCAGAACGUCGUGAGACAGUUCGGUCCCUAUCCGGCGUGGGCGUAAGAUAUUUGAGAGGAGCUGUCCUUAGUACGAGAGGACCGGGAUGGACGGACCGCUGGUGUACCAGUUGUAUUACCAAGUGCAUAGCUGGGUAGCCAAGUCUGGAAAGGAUAAACGCUGAAGGCAUCUAAGCGUGAAGCCAACCUCAAGAUGAGAUAUCUCUUAAGACCCCUCGAAGACUACGAGGUUGAUAGGCUCUGGGUGUAAGCAUGGUAACAUGUUAAGCUGAGGAGUACUAAUAGGUCGUGAGCUUUUCCU